CCUACGGGAGGCAGCAGUGAGGAAUAUUGGUCAAUGGGCGCGAGCCUGAACCAGCCAAGUAGCGUGAAGGAUGACUGCCCUACGGGUUGUAAACUUCUUUUAUAAAGGCAUAAAGUGAGGCACGUGUGCCAUUUUGUAUGUACUUUAUGAAUAAGGCACGGCUAACUCCGUGCCAGCAGCCGCGGUAAUACGGAGGAACCGAGCGUUAUCCGGAUUUACUGGGUUUAAAGGGAGCGUAGAUGGGUUGUUAAGUCAGUUGUGAAAGUCUGCGGCUUAACCGUAAAAUUGCAAUUGAUACUGGCAGGCUUGAGUACAGUUGAGGAAGGCGGAAUUCGUGGUGUAGCGGUGAAAUGCGUAGAUAUCACGAAGAACUCCGAUUGCGAAGGCAGCUUACUAAACUGCCACUGACAUUGAUGCUCGAAAGUGUGGGUAUCAAACAGGAUUAGAUACCCGAGUAGUC
RNAcentral lists this ribosomal RNA (460 nucleotides) under uncultured bacterium. RNAcentral's name for it is "partial 16S ribosomal RNA". It matches the Rfam family "Bacterial small subunit ribosomal RNA", at positions 338 to 795 of the family's 1533-position model. The record is from RNAcentral.